AUUUAAAUAAUUUAAUAAAAAAUUUUGGUUUGUGGAGUCAAAUAUGUAGUAAGCUACUUUAAAUU
This 65-nucleotide transfer RNA is filed under the name Hydromanicus huapingensis. RNAcentral's name for it is "tRNA-His". Lineage: Eukaryota; Metazoa; Arthropoda; Insecta; Trichoptera; Hydropsychidae. The record is from RNAcentral.